This 245-nucleotide ribosomal RNA is filed under the name uncultured bacterium. RNAcentral's name for it is "partial 16S ribosomal RNA". It matches the Rfam family "Bacterial small subunit ribosomal RNA", at positions 528 to 772 of the family's 1533-position model. The record is from RNAcentral.
UAGGUGGCAAGCGUUGUCCGGAAUUACUGGGUGUAAAGGGCGUGUAGGCGGGACUGCAGGUCAGAUGUGAAAUACCGGGGCUCAACCCCGGAGCUGCAUUUGAAACCGUGGUUCUUGAGUAUCGGAGAGGCAGGCGGAAUUCCUAGUGUAGCGGUGAAAUGCGUAGAUAUUAGGAGGAACACCAGUGGCGAAGGCGGCCUGCUGGACGACAACUGACGCUGAGGCGCGAAAGCGUGGGGAGCAAA